UCGGAAGCACUAGCUAUAAGAUUUGGUGCAAGGCAUGAGAAGUAAUGAGGUGGGACUUCCUUGUAAGGAAGGACUAGCCAUUGUUCCUUUGCACUACCCCUGCUCUCUGAACACACUCUCUCUGCUCUGAAACAACUGCUCGACAUCAUUGUUCCUGCUGCUUGGAACAUGUCAGGGGGACCAGAUGGAACCCGAACGUGAAGACUGGGCAAAACGUCGGCAGAGCUCUUCUAAGGUGGUGUUGUCCCAGACAAGGAGGACUCUUGAGAACGAACUGUUGACGGGGGCGGUGGGGGAGGGAAGAUGCGAGGAAAGAAGGCCGGCGGCAUGUCUGAGACCUUUAUCUUGCACUGAGGUUUACCAACCAAAGAUGCAACCAGGGCUGCGUGCGACAAAAGUCCAUGCCAUGGUACGCACAUGAGAAGGAAACAUGUGUCACGGACUUACAUUAAUUUUAGGCCAAUCAGCUUUCCGCCAUCCGUCUCAGUCUCUCAUUCUUGUCCACCACCUUCCAAUAUAUGGUCACCCACACCCCCGCUCUGCCCUUAGCACAGGCAUCCACGUAUGUUCCCGAUGGAGUACUCGCACAACAAAGGAGUCGCACUUUUCUUCAUCCUCUUCAUCUCCUUUGCGCCAUCUCUACGUGCCAGGAAGCUCCUCGGCGAGGCGGAGGAGACGGUUAGACCCAUGGAAGCUGGUCUAGUGUUGAACAUCCUCCCGAGGGGGAGCACGCCUCCGUCUGCUCCCAGCCAAGGUGGUAAUGGCGCGGGUACCGCACGAAUCAACACCGAGAGGGUGCUGGGGUCGGUCCCCAGCCCGGGGAUCGGCCAUUAAUAGCUUCUCCGCUCGAUCAUUAGUUCUUGUUAGGAAGUUUUGGAGGUCAGGUCCAUAUACUACGUUUUUUCAUUGUUCAAGCUGCCUUUCCUUUCUCUUCUUUGGUUCCAUAGUUGGAUUGAUUUGGUAUGUCCUGCGCGACGCAUAAGGGAGACGAGAUGAUGUGCACGCGAGGAUCAAACUCGAUGGAGGGAGUCCAUCGCUACUGUUCACUCGUGUCCCCUCCAUGAACUACGUGACAAACCGGUAGUGUCCUGUGUCAAUCGAAAGCGCGUCAGUCGUAUUGUACAUGAUGAGAUAUACUGUCAAGUUCGUCCCCUUUUUUUUUUC
Long non-coding RNA from Musa acuminata AAA Group (dessert banana), 1164 nucleotides. RefSeq lists it as uncharacterized. The record is from RefSeq and is a predicted model, not a curated record. NCBI's taxonomy places the organism in Eukaryota, Viridiplantae, Streptophyta, Magnoliopsida, Zingiberales, Musaceae. The transcript has 2 exons.